GACGAACGCUGGCGGCGUGCUUAACACAUGCGAGUCGAACGGAAAGGCCCUGCUUUUGUGGGGUGCUCGAGUGGCGAACGGGUGAGUAACACGUGAGUAACCUGCCCUUGACUUUGGGAUAACUUCAGGAAACUGGGGCUAAUACCGGAUAGGAGCUCCUGCUGCAUGGUGGGGGUUGGAAAGUUUCGGCGGUUGGGGAUGGACUCGCGGCUUAUCAGCUUGUUGGUGGGGUAGUGGCUUACCAAGGCUUUGACGGGUAGCCGGCCUGAGAGGGUGACCGGCCACAUUGGGACUGAGAUACGGCCCAGACUCCUACGGGAGGCAGCAGUGGGGAAUAUUGCACAAUGGGCUGAAGCCUGAUGCAGCAACGCCGCGUGCGGGAUGACGGCCUUCGGGUUGUAAACCGCUUUCGCCUGUGACGAAGCGUGAGUGACGGUAAUGGGUAAAGAAGCACCGGCUAACUACGUG
RNAcentral lists this ribosomal RNA (468 nucleotides) under uncultured bacterium. RNAcentral's name for it is "partial 16S ribosomal RNA". It matches the Rfam family "Bacterial small subunit ribosomal RNA", at positions 28 to 507 of the family's 1533-position model. The record is from RNAcentral.